Molecule: non-coding RNA, 822 nt
Organism: Solanum lycopersicum (tomato)
Lineage: Eukaryota; Viridiplantae; Streptophyta; Magnoliopsida; Solanales; Solanaceae
Source: RefSeq, a predicted model, not a curated record
UCCGACGUCCAAAAUGCCAAUUUUUUUGUGGACGUCCUUCAAGAUCUUUGCUAUGCAUCAGGUUGGCCCUCACGGCCAUUCUGAUCCAUUUUCAAGGUUAAACGAGCCCCGAAGCGCACAUACCUCUCUAUUUCGUUGAUUUUUGUGUGCUAUAGCUAACCAUUUUUUGGGUGAUCCAGAUUGCGACAUCAAAAAUGCCAAAAUAUUUUGUGGACGUCCGUCAAGACCUUGGUUAUGCAUCCGGUUGGACCUCACAGCCAUUCUGACCCAUUUUGAAGAUUCCGACGUCAAAAAUGUCAAGAUAUUUUGUGGAAGUCCUUCAAGACCUUGGUUAUGCAUUCGAUUGGCCCUCAUGUGAAUUCAAACCCAUUUUAAAGGUCAAAAGAGCCUCGAAGCGUGCAUACCCCCAUUUCAAAGAUUAUCGUGUGCUAUAGCAAACCAUUUUUUGGGUUAUCCGGAUACCAACUUCAAAAUUGCCAAAAAAAAAUUUGGACGUCCAUCAAGACCUUGGCUAUGAUUCUAGUUGUCUCUCACGGCAACUGCGACCCAUUUUCAAGGUCAAACGAGCUCCCUGAAGAACGCAUAUCCCCUAUUUUGACGAUUUUCAUAUGAUAUAGUUAAUCAUUUUUUGGGUGAUCCGGAUUGCGACGUCCAAAAUGUCAAAAAUUUUGUGGACGUCCAACAUGAUAUUGGAUAUGCAUCCGAUUGUCCCUCACGGCCAUUUGAAUUCAAAAGUGUAACUAUACACGAGAAAAUAAUCAUUAUAAAUUUUCUCUAUUUAAGUUGGUAUAAUUUCUUAAUAAAGGGAUUUAAUUAAAAUUA